CUUAAGCAUAAAAUAAGAAAUUCCUAGAAAUAAGGAAAGUUACUAGAGUCCUAACUAGAAAAGGAAAACACUUAAAAUAGGAAAUAUUUAGAAAUAACUUGUAAGCUAGAAUAGAUUAGGUAUUGUAACCGUCUCCUGCAUCAGUCUCCUCCACCUCCAAAGAACUCGUCCCCGAGUUCUUAUCUGGAUAAAGAACACCAUCGGCAUGAUACUCAUAGAUGUCCGCUACGUUGAACGUAUGAGAAAUGCUCAUAUCGUCUGGUAGAUCCACCACAAAAGCAUUGUCAUUAAGCUUUUUCAAAAUCUUGAAUGGACCAUACUUGCGAGGCUGAAGCUUGCGAUAAGUACCAACUGGAAACCUUUCUUUCUUGAGAAACACCAUUACUUCAUCACCUUCUUUGAAAACCUUGAGCCUCCGUUUCUUAUCUGCUGCCCUUUUGUUCUUUUGCCCAGUUGCUUCCAAUCUAGCUCGGACUGCUUCUUUAGUGUCCAAAAUGUCUUUAGCCAUAGCCUCAGCUGAUGCACUAACUCCAGGAGCUUGCGGUAGGGGAACUAAAUCAACCACAUGCUUCGGGACAGAGGUAUAUACCAACGUAAAUGGUGAUUUCCCUGUUGCGGAAUGUACGGCACUAUUGUAAGCGAACUCGACCUGCGGUAGGGCUAAAUCCCACUGCUUCGGUUUAUCACCACAAACACUUCUGAUCAUGUUACCCAGCGUCCUGUUUGUUACCUCGGUUUGCCCAUCACUCUGGGGAUGAGCUGUAGAGCUUCGUUUUAAACUUGUUCCAAACAUCCUCCAUAAUGUAAUCCAGAAGUGACUGAGAAACUUAGUAUCCCUGUCGGAAACUAUUGACUUCGGAACCCCAUGGAGACGCACAACUUCUCGAAAGAACAAUUUGGCUAUGUUGGUUGCAUCUGCGGUCUUUCUACAAGCAAUGAAGUGUGUCAUUUUGGAAAACCUGUCAACAACAACAAACACAGAAUCCACACCUCGCUGCGUCCUCGGCAACCCCAACACAAAAUCCAUAGAUAGGUCCUGCCAGAUAUCGUCAGGAACAGAUAACGGCAUGUAAAGACCUGUGUUCUGAGAUUGUCCCUUAGAAACCUGACAAACAAAACACCUCCGAACAAUAGUUCCAGCGUCUUUCCUAAGAUGCGGCCAAUAGUACCUUUCCUCCAAGCUUGCAAUUGUCUUAUCCCGUCCCAAAUGACCACUAAGACCACCACCGUGCAAUUCUCGGAUCAGCUUCUCUCGUAACGACGAGCAAGGAAUGCACAGUCUGUCUCCUUUAAAUAAAUAGCCUUCGCGAAUAUGGAAGUCUGCAGAAGGAUGCUUACCGUUGCACUUGUCCCAUAAUUCCUUGAAUUCAGCAUCAGUUUCAUAUAACUCUUUCAAAAAUUUGAAUCCCACAAUCUCAUGUGCUAAGGUAGUUAGCAAGGAAGCCCUUCUACUCAAAGCAUCAGCUACCUUGUUAAGAGCUCCGGACUUAUGCUGAAUAAUGAAAGGAAAUUUUUGCAGAAAACUUACCCAACGAGCAUGCAUCUUAUUUAUCACUUUCUGGCUGUGAAGAAACUUCAGAGCUUGGUGGUCAGUGAACAGAAUAAACUCUCGCUGAAUCAGAUAAUGCUCCCAUUGUCGAAGAGCUCGAAAUACCGCAUAGAACUCUUGAUCAUAAGUACUCCAUUUCCGUCGUGCUUCGCUUAGUUUUUCACUAAAGAAAGCUACUGGUCUUUUUUCCUGAGAUAACACAGCACCAAUUCCUACACCACUAGCAUCGCAUUCCACUUGGAAUAUCUUAUCAAAAUCCGGCAAUGCUAACACAGGAGCAGUACAAAGCUUCUCCUUAAUCAAUGCAAAACUCUCGUCUUGUUCUGGUCCCCAGUGAAACUUCCCUUUCUUCAAGCAUUCGGUAAUAGGCGCAGUAAUAGUACUGAAGUCUCUUACAAAUCUUCUGUAGAAAGUAGCCAAACCAUGAAAGCUGCGUACCUCAGUUGCGGUUUUGGGAACGGGCCAGUCUUUUAUUGCACGCACUUUGGCGUCAUCUACUUGAAUCCCAUCCUUACCAACGACAAACCCCAAAAACAGCAACUUGUUUGUGCAGAAUGUGCAUUUCUUUAAAUUCACGUACAACUGAUUUUCUUGGAGGACUUGCAACACCUGCCUUAUAUGCUCCAAAUGGUCGUCCUUGGCUUUACUAUAGAUCAAAAUGUCAUCGAAGUAUACUACCACAAAGGACCCAAUGAAAGGACGGAGAACCUGAUUCAUCAAUCUCAUGAAAGUACUAGGUGCGUUUGACAAGCCGAAAGGCAUCACUAACCACUCGUACAAUCCGUCUUUACUCUUAAAAGCAGUCUUCCAUUCAUCUCCAGGCCUGAUUCGAAUCUGAUGGUACCCACUUCGAAGAUCUAUUUUUGAAAACACCUUUGAUCCAUUCAACUCAUCAAGCAUGUCUUCCAACCGAGGGAUAGGAAACCGGUAUUUAAUUGUGAUCUUGUUGAUGGCUCUAGAAUCAACGCACAUUCGCCACUGAUUACCCUUCUUCGGAACGAGAAGAACUGGUACAGCACAAGGGCUCAUGCUCUCGCGGAUUAACCCUUUCUUCAGCAAAUCUUCGAUCUGUGUCCUUACAAUUUCAUUCUCUUUAGGGCUCAUUCGAUAGUGGGGAAGAUUAGGUAGACUAGAACUUGGGAUCAGGUCAAUGUGAUGCUGUAUAUCACGCAUAGGAGGCAGGUUGUCAGGUAGUUCCUCAGCAACUAACUCCUUGUAAUCUUCCAAAAUUUCUAACACCUCACGUGGAGUUGUUGUCUCUUCCGUCACGGCACUCAUCAACCCCUUGACCACAACCGGAUAAAAAUACUGUGAUUCCUUAAUAGCCUUGUCAAGUUCUUUAUCAUCAUGCGACAUGACUAGGAAGCUUGACUUCUUCUCUUUUGCAAUGCUACUAAAAUCCUUGACAGGAGCCAUUGCAAUCUUAUGAUUCCCCCAUGUAAACAUGAUCACAUUGUCUCGUCCUCGGUACGUAAUGUCGUUAUCGUACUGCCAUGGUCGCCCAAGGAGAAUAUGACAAACAUCCAUAUCCAAAACGUCACAGAUUAUCUCCUCUUUGUAAUGCUUACCAAUUGAUAAAGGAAUUUUGCAAGUUUCACUAACUCCUACUUUAGAUCCUUUCUUCACCCAUCCGAGACCAUACGGCUUCUCAUGACGAGUCGUGGGUAUUUUCAAAUAUUCCACCAGCUUUUGAGAAACUAAAUUCUCGGAGCUCCCAUUGUCAACAAUCAUAUUGCACACCUUGUUCUGAAUAGAACAAUGCGUUCUAAACAGAUUCUUGCGUUGUCCCUCUUCUUUGGAUGAUAGCAACAGUCGCUGUAAAACAAUGCUGAUUCGGUCCUCAGAUUCCUCUUCCGCAAAUUCCACUCCCUCAUACUCCUCAUUCUCCAUAAAGUCGUCUUCCUCUUCUUCUAGCAAUGCAACCGUCUUCCUACUGGGACAAACAUUCGACUUGUGACCUGUUCCUUGACAACGGAAACACUUGUCGAGGGUUGGCCUAGCAUAAGGAGUGUUCUGUUUCGGAGCGGUUGCUUUGUCCUUCUGAAUGCCGCUAGUGGAACUACUUGUUCCUUUGUUGUUAGGGUUGGAAUCUCUGUUAAUCACGCCUUUGUCCUUCUCUCCGGCUGGUUCGACGUUGCUGUGAACCGAGGGUCUCCUGAAAUUUGUGAAACCCCGCGAUGAUUUCUCCAUCAAUUCCGCUUUCAAGGCUAGACUGGAUGCUUCUUGAACUGUCCACACAGUCUGUAACCCUAUUUUCCCUUGAAGAGAGCCCUUUAAACCACUGAUGUAUCUAGCCACCUUCUGGUUCUCUGUUUCGUUUAAGUCACUACGUUCAGAGAAACGUAAGAACUCUGCUGUAUAAUCAGUCACGGUCCUGCUUCCUUGUACACAAUCAAUGUACAUCUUGUAAAGAAUCUGCUCGUAGUCCUCCGGUAAGAACCGCUCAGUCAUUAGCUGUUUCAUUCGGCGCCAUGUUCUAACUGGACCCUUCCUCUGUCUUUGCCUUUGAAUAGCCAAUUUAUCCCACCAAACAGCAGCAGUCUUCUUUAACCGGAUAGCCACCAUCUUGACCUGUUUACUCUCCGGGACUUCCAUAACAUCAAAGAACCGAUCAACAUCAAUUUGCCAAUCAAGAAAUUCCUCUACACUCAUAGUCCCAUAGAACAAUGGAAUAUCAGCUUUCACUCGGUAAUCCUGAUUAUUUUGAUUCCCUUGUUCUUCCACUUCCUCUUCCAAUUCCUCCUCAGAGCUGGAAUCAUCAACAGCGACAUGGUUAUGUCUGCCUUGUUGUCGAUUGUGUCUGCCUUGUUGAUUCUGAUUUCGUCCCAUUCCUUCUCCUCCUCCUUGUCCUGCGUUAGCAAUCUGAUUGGUUAAUGCUGCAAUCUGAUUAGUUAACGCUGCCACCAGAUUUGCCAGGUUCGUGGUUGAGUCUUUCAAACUCGCUGUGAAACCCUCCAUGUCGGCCUUGGUUACUGGUUGAUCACCCAUAGCUGUUCAAGCUUCGAAAAGAGUAGGAGAUUGCCUGCUCUGAUACCACUUGACGCAGUCGGAUGCACUAAGACAACAAACGUUAGUCUUAGAAUUGAAGGUUCAAGUUCGCGGGUGUCAAACUUGAGGAAAAAGCUCUGGAAUCCACCAGAAAAAGGUAAAGCUCGAAAACUCGAAGACUUUGAUUAAUAAUAAUGGUAAAAAUUCCCUUCAAACAUAGCACCUAAGGUUCUUUAUAUAGAGAAAACCUUAAGCAUAAAAUAAGAAAUUCCUAGAAAUAAGGAAAGUUACUAGAGUCCUAACUAGAAAAGGAAAACACUUAAAAUAGGAAAUAUUUAGAAAUAACUUGUAAGCUAGAAUAGAUUAGGUAUUGUAACCGUCUCCUGCAUCAGAGUGUUCCACAAGGAGCACCGUAAGAAGGUCGACACAUACUACACAAUCAUCACUUGAAAGUUUUGAGGCCUUUCACUUAUGACAUGCAAAGAUAAGAAAGAAAACGAAGAAAAAUGCAGCAGAGCAAAGGGUAAGUACCUUGCCAUGGCAAGAGCAGAUCACAGAGAAAGUACCAGAAGAUAUCAAAGUCACAUGGGAUAGAAAGAAUGAAAAAGCAAGACCUUUUGGGUUUGUUAGGGUCUCGUUCUUCUUCUUGUUUUUUGUUGUCA
This 5199-nucleotide long non-coding RNA is filed under the name Arabidopsis lyrata. RNAcentral describes it as "long non-coding RNA (ALYR_LNC002709)". Lineage: Eukaryota; Viridiplantae; Streptophyta; Magnoliopsida; Brassicales; Brassicaceae. The record is from RNAcentral.